Molecule: ribosomal RNA, 463 nt
Filed under: uncultured bacterium
Lineage: Bacteria
Description: partial 16S ribosomal RNA
Rfam family: Bacterial small subunit ribosomal RNA
Source: RNAcentral
GAUGAACGCUGACAGCAUGCUUAACACAUGCAAGUCGAUCGGGAAGUGGUGCUUGCACCAUGGCAACCAUGGCGGACGGGUGAGUAACGCGUAAGGGACUUACCUGCAGGACUGGGAUAACAGGGGGAAACUCCUGACAAGACCGGAUAAUGUCAUGGAGCUGCAUGGCUUUAUGAUGAAAGGAGACGCCUGCGGAGAGCCUUGCGUCCUAUUAGCUAGUUGGUGAGGUAAUGGCUCACCAAGGCGAAGAUAGGUAGCCGGCCUGAGAGGGUGGACGGCCACAAGGGGACUGAGAUACGGCCCUUACUCCUACGGGAGGCAGCAGUGGGGAAUAUUGGACAAUGGGGGCAACCCUGAUCGAGCAAUUCUGUGUGCACGAAGAAGGUUUUCGGAUUGUAAAGUGCUUUCAGCAGGGAAGAAGUAAGUGACGGUACCUGCAGAAGAAGCGACGGCUAAAUACGUG